AAAGCACUCAAAAAGUUCCCUACAACUACACCAUAAUGAUAGAUGCUCUUCAGAUGAAACAACAUAUUCUACCCUAACAAAAGUUAUUGCCGAUCAGACAAGUUAUACUAUUCAGGUACUGGGCGUAUGAAGUGCUUUCACAAUCUGGGAAUGAAUUCACGUAGAGGGAUCAGAUUACUCUCCUUGCAAUGAUAUGUUAAUAUCUGUAGUAGACUUUCUUGAAUCUUGAACAGAUGGCAUGGCCGUCCAGUGAUUUGGUUGAAUGGAAGAAGAAAUAACAUUUUGAGUUCCAGCUGCGGGAACAUUUACAGUGUGUGCAUUGGAACUUCUAGGCUCCAUAUUAGAGCUAUGGGGCGCAGCAGGAGAGAGCGUUCCAUAAGUUAUUGCUUUGAGUUCUGCUUUCUGUUUCUUGGGCUUGACCUCUUGGUAGUUGCUUGGUAGAAAACUUCCCACUACAACCUGGACAGGACUAGCAGCUAUUAGCAGUCCUGCAAGUGUUCCUCCGACAACACGUCCAUCCGGACUUGCCAAAGAAAUGCUCAUUCCUCCGGUUCUGCUAGUAGUACGAGAACCCCCAAACUCUGUUGGAGUAAAG
This 595-nucleotide unclassified non-coding RNA is filed under the name Hevea brasiliensis (rubber tree). The record is from RNAcentral. Lineage: Eukaryota; Viridiplantae; Streptophyta; Magnoliopsida; Malpighiales; Euphorbiaceae.